UAACGCGAAGAACCUUACCAGGUCUUGACAUCCUCUGACAACCCUAGAGAUAGGGCUUUCCCCUUCGGGGGACAGAGUGGCAGGUGGUGCAUGGUUGUCGUCAGCUCGUGUCGUGAGAUGUUGGGUUAAGUCCCGCAACGAGCGCAACCCUUGAUCUUAGUUGCCAGCAUUCAGUUGGGCACUCUAAGAUGACUGCCGGUGACAAACCGGAGGAAGGUGGGGAUGACGUCAAAUCAUCAUGCCCCUUAUGACCUGGGCUACACACGUGCUACAAUGGACGGUACAAAGGGCAGCAAGACCGCGAGGUUUAGCCAAUCCCAUAAAACCGUUCUCAGUUCGGAUUGUAGGCUGCA
Molecule: ribosomal RNA, 353 nt
Filed under: Geobacillus sp. enrichment culture clone F
Lineage: Bacteria; Bacillati; Bacillota; Bacilli; Caryophanales; Anoxybacillaceae
Description: bacterial SSU rRNA
Rfam family: Bacterial small subunit ribosomal RNA
Source: RNAcentral